AGUUUACAAUUUUUAUUUAAACAUUGUAUACAAAUGGACCUCUUACAUUGUCUCAUAGGAUAUCAUAUUAUAAUAAAACAAUACAAUACUAUACAAACACCAAGUCAAAACUUUUAAAUUCAUCUGCAAAUUCUUUAUUUGGCGACUAUUUAAUUUGUAUAGUUAAUUGUAAAAAUUAGUAAUUCAUAAUAAAUUACACUGAACUAUGAGAAACUAUAUCUAUGACUAGACAAUACAAUUUGAUUUGACUAGCAAAUGUUUCAUAACUGUACCAGUACACUGAUAUUUGAUAUUUAUGUAAAUUAUUAUGGAAUCAAAUAUAUUUCUGUAAUAUAAUAUAGUCUCUGAACAAACUACUCAAUUAAUUGUAUUGUAAAGUUAAUUUUUACGAAGAGGGAAAUAUUAAGUCAGCCUACUUAAAGGUUAUGUUAUUAAAUUGUAAUACAAUUCCUCAUAAGUAGCAUUAUGAGGUUGUUAAAAUAGAAAAUUUUACAUUUUUAAAAAAAAUUAAUCAGACAUUUCCAAUUUUUAAUUAACUUAUUUUCAAAAAAUGUAAGAUGAAAAAUUAACUAUGUUUGUACUAAUUGUAUUUGUUGUAUUUGAAGUCCGUAGCCCUUAAAUAAGUUUAAAUGUAGAGUAGUUAAUAUAUUAUGUACAU
Metopolophium dirhodum (rose-grain aphid) is the source of this 658-nucleotide long non-coding RNA. RefSeq lists it as uncharacterized. NCBI's taxonomy places the organism in Eukaryota, Metazoa, Arthropoda, Insecta, Hemiptera, Aphididae. The record is from RefSeq and is a predicted model, not a curated record. The transcript is spliced from 3 exons.